RNAcentral lists this ribosomal RNA (735 nucleotides) under uncultured marine bacterium. Its description in RNAcentral is "bacterial SSU rRNA". It matches the Rfam family "Bacterial small subunit ribosomal RNA", at positions 97 to 869 of the family's 1533-position model. The record is from RNAcentral.
GGCAGACGGGUGAGUAACAUGUAGGUAUCUGCCCUUUGGCCUGGAAUAACACGAGGAAACUUGUGCUAAUACCGGAUAAGUCUUUACAGAGAAAGCUUUAUGCACCAUUGGAUGAGCCUGCACUUGAUUAGUUUGUUGGUGGGGUAAUGGCCUACCAAGACUUUGAUCAAUAGCUGAUUUGAGAGGAUGAUCAGCCACAUUGGGACUGAGACACGGCCCAAACUCCUACGGGAGGCAGCAGUGGGGAAUCUUGCACAAUGGAGGAAACUCUGAUGCAGCGAUGCCGCGUGAGUGAAGAAGGCCUUUGGGUUGUAAAGCUCUUUCGUCGGGGAAGAAAAUGUCUGUACCCGAAUAAGAAGGUCCGGCUAACUUCGUGCCAGCAGCCGCGGUAAUACGAAGGGACCUAGCGUAGUUCGGAAUUACUGGGCUUAAAGAGUUCGUAGGUGGUUGAAAAAGUUGGUGGUGAAAUCCCAGAGCUUAACUCUGGAACUGCCAUCAAAACUUUUCAGCUAGAGUUUGAUAGAGGAAAGCAGAAUUUCUAGUGUAGAGGUGAAAUUCGUAGAUAUUAGAAAGAAUACCAAUUGCGAAGGCGGCUUUCUGGAUCAUUACUGACACUGGGGAACGAAAGCAUGGGUAGCGAAGAGGAUUAGAUACCCUCGUAGUCCAUGCCGUAAACGAUGUGUGUUAGACGUUGGAAAUUUAUUUUCAGUGUCGCAGCGAAAGCGAUAAACACAC